CCUACGGGGGGCAGCAGUGAGGAAUAUUGGUCAAUGGCCGAGAGGCUGAACCAGCCAAGUCGCGUGAGGGAAGACGGCCCUACGGGUUGUAAACCUCUUUUGUCGGGGAGCAAAGCGAGUCACGUGUGACUCAUUGAGAGUACCCGAAGAAAAAGCAUCAGCUAACUCCGUGCCAGCAGCCGCGGUAAUACGGAGGAUGCGAGCGUUAUCCGGAUUUAUUGGGUUUAAAGGGUGCGCAGGCGGAGGUGCAAGUCAGCGGUCAAAUUGCGGGGCUCAACCCCGUACUGCCGUUGAAACUGCAGCCCUUGAGUGCGCGAGAAGUAUGCGGAAUGCGUGGUGUAGCGGUGAAAUGCAUAGAUAUCACGCAGAACUCCGAUUGCGAAGGCAGCAUACCGGCGCGCAACUGACGCUCAUGCACGAAAGCGUGGGUAUCGAACAGGAUUAGAUACCCCAGUAGUC
Molecule: ribosomal RNA, 459 nt
Filed under: uncultured bacterium
Lineage: Bacteria
Description: partial 16S ribosomal RNA
Rfam family: Bacterial small subunit ribosomal RNA
Source: RNAcentral